AGUACAGGAAGAUAUAUAUGUAUUAUAUCCACUACUAUAGUUCAACAAUGGAGAAAUCUUCAUCCAAGUUGGUUUUUCUAGUCUUGGUCAUGCUUGUGAUGAUGGCAUCUUAUUCAAAGAUGGCAGCAGAAGGGAGGACGGUGAUUUCAUAUCGAUGCAAGGUAACGGAAGACUGCAACCGUGUUUGUGAAAAAUGCUUAAACUGCGCUUGCCAAAAUACCUGGUGCGUAUGCCUUGAUGAAAGCUGGUCACCUUCAACCCUGGGAACUGUCUUUGAACAUCAAGAAGCAAAACAAGAGCAUGGAAAUUAAGAUUUUGCAAGUGUAAUUAUAUGAUUAAAAUCUGUCAAUAAGCCAGACCCUUGAGAAGUUGUGUGGCUGAUUUCUUAAGUAAUAAAUGAAAUGAUGAGCUUGUUACAAA
Long non-coding RNA from Mangifera indica (mango), 420 nucleotides. RefSeq lists it as uncharacterized. The transcript has 2 exons. The record is from RefSeq and is a predicted model, not a curated record. Lineage: Eukaryota; Viridiplantae; Streptophyta; Magnoliopsida; Sapindales; Anacardiaceae.